This is a long non-coding RNA of Ananas comosus (pineapple), 612 nucleotides long. RefSeq lists it as uncharacterized. NCBI's taxonomy places the organism in Eukaryota, Viridiplantae, Streptophyta, Magnoliopsida, Poales, Bromeliaceae. The record is from RefSeq and is a predicted model, not a curated record. The transcript has 5 exons.
UAAGUUGAAUUGCAUAGAAACGGGUUUAAUGAAUUUUGACCUCGAUAAUGCACUUUUGCAGGAUAGGAGUCCUAAUGCGAAAUUGACUGCGUACAAACCAAAUUGAGGGUAAAAGAAACGCGUUGGCGAAGUCGGUUCGGUAAUCCGUCGAGCCUACGCAAAGAUAUCGCCGAAAAGACGUUUUCGGCAUCAAUUGGCACGAGCGCGGGUCGCGGUUCUCGGGAAAGUGCGGGAUGUGGAUUUCUCGCGUUCAGCCGAAAUACAAGUGUGGACUGAUUGUGCAGUGAGCAAGCAAUUUAGCAUCUGAUUAAGUGGCCGAAAUGAUGAGGAGGGCCAUUUGAAGCUGUGAACUAGUUGAUCCAGCAUCUAAUGAAGAAGAGGAUCAGUUGAUGCAGUGAACAAGUUUAUUCAACAUCAACUUACAAGUUGAAGCUGAAGUUGCAAUCCUUGUGGAACUUGGUGAAUUGCUGAAGCAGGGAGCCAGAAAUCAGCAAAGGAAAUCUGAAUUUGAGGUCGACGACGCGCUAAUUACGGUAGAAGCCGUUCUAGUUCUAUUUACACCGAGACGCGCAAGAUUGUUCUUGACACAGUUCGAAACGUGGAUUCUAGUUG